CCUACGGGAGGCAGCAGUGAGGAAUAUUGGUCAAUGGGCGCGAGCCUGAACCAGCCAAGUAGCGUGAAGGAUGACUGCCCUACGGGUUGUAAACUUCUUUUAUAAAGGAAUAAAGUGAGGCACGUGUGCCUUUUUGUAUGUACUUUAUGAAUAAGGAUCGGCUAACUCCGUGCCAGCAGCCGCAGUAAUACGGAGGAUCCGAGCGUUAUGCGGAUUUAUUGGGUUUAAAGGGAGCGUAGAUGGGUUGUUAAGUCAGUUGUGAAAGUUUGCGGCACAACCGUAAAACUGAAAUUGAUGAUGGCAUGCUAGCGUACGUGUGAGGUAAGCGGAAUUCGUGGUGUAGAGGUGAAAUGCUUAGAUAGCAAGCAGAAGUCCAAUGGCGAAGGAAGCUGACUAAACUGCAACUGACGUUGAUGCUCGAAAGUGUGGGUAUCAAACAGGAUGAGAUACCCUUGUAGUC
Molecule: ribosomal RNA, 460 nt
Filed under: uncultured bacterium
Lineage: Bacteria
Description: partial 16S ribosomal RNA
Rfam family: Bacterial small subunit ribosomal RNA
Source: RNAcentral